GACGAACGCUGGCGGCGUGCUUAACACAUGCAAGUCGAACGGAAAGGCCCUGCUUUUGUGGGGUGCUCGAGUGGCGAACGGGUGAGUAACACGUGAGUAACCUGCCCUUGACUUUGGGAUAACUUCAGGAAACUGGGGCUAAUACCGGAUAGGAGCUCCUGCUGCAUGGUGGGGGUUGGAAAGUUUCGGCGGUUGGGGAUGGACUCGCGGCUUAUCAGCUUGUUGGUGGGGUAGUGGCUUACCAAGGCUUUGACGGGUAGCCGGCCUGAGAGGGUGACCGGCCACAUUGGGACUGAGAUACGGCCCAGACGCCUACGGGAGGCAGCAGUGGGGAAUAUUGCACAAUGGGCGGAAGCCUGAUGCAGCAACGCCGCGUACGGGAUGACGGCCUUCGGGUUGUAAACCGCUUUCGCCUGUGACGAAGCGUGAGUGACGGUAAUGGGUAAAGAAGCACCGGCUAACUACGU
This 467-nucleotide ribosomal RNA is filed under the name uncultured bacterium. RNAcentral's name for it is "partial 16S ribosomal RNA". It matches the Rfam family "Bacterial small subunit ribosomal RNA", at positions 28 to 506 of the family's 1533-position model. The record is from RNAcentral.